This 156-nucleotide unclassified non-coding RNA is filed under the name uncultured Diaporthe. RNAcentral describes it as "sequence contains ITS2". The record is from RNAcentral. Lineage: Eukaryota; Fungi; Ascomycota; Sordariomycetes; Diaporthales; Diaporthaceae.
CAACCCUCAAGCCUGGCUUGGUGAUGGGGCACUGCCUUCUAGCGAGGGCAGGCCCUGAAAUCUAGUGGCGAGCUCGCUAGGACCCCGAGCGUAGUAGUUAUAUCUCGUUCUGGAAGGCCCUGGCGGUGCCCUGCCGUUAAACCCCCAACUUCUGAA